Molecule: ribosomal RNA, 460 nt
Filed under: uncultured bacterium
Lineage: Bacteria
Description: partial 16S ribosomal RNA
Rfam family: Bacterial small subunit ribosomal RNA
Source: RNAcentral
CCUACGGGUGGCAGCAGUGAGGAAUAUUGGUCAAUGGACGAGAGUCUGAACCAGCCAAGUAGCGUGAAGGAUGACUGCCCUAUGGGUUGUAAACUUCUUUUAUAUGGGAAUAAAAUGUUCCACGUGUGGGAUUUUGUAUGUACCAUAUGAAUAAGGAUCGGCUAACUCCGUGCCAGCAGCCGCGGUAAUACGGAGGAUCCGAGCGUUAUCCGGAUUUAUUGGGUUUAAAGGGGGCGUAGGUGGAUUGUUAAGUCAGUUGUGAAAGUUUGCGGCUCAACCGUAACAUUGCAGUUGAAACUGGCAGUCGUGAGUACAGUAGAGGUAGGCGGAAUUCGUGGUGUAGCGGUGAAAUGCUUAGAUAUCACGAAGAACUCCGAUUGCGAAGGCAGCUCACUGGACUGCAACUGACACUGAGGCUCGAAAGUGUGGGUAUCAAACAGGAUUAGAUACCCUGGUAGUC